UAACUGUAGACAUGUGAUUUUUUAUGUAGAUUCUAUAUAGACUAUAUAUAGAGUCUAUAUAGAGGGACUAACACCUAUCAACUAAAAAGGAGGAAAAAAACAAACGCUGGAAAAGGAAAAAAAGCUACACAUCUUCUUUUUCCGGACACAACCAACGAAAGGAGGGUCUUUUUCCUCAUAACAAUCCUAGAUCUAGAGCUUAAGAUACAGCAUGAAAGAGCCAUGAGAGCUCAUCUUUUUCACCUGAAAAACAUCCCAUGAAACACCUCAAAUCCAUCGUAAAGCCACAGCAAAAAACAAGCUAAAAAAACUGAGAAGAGUAUCGAAAAACAGCUACCAAACAACCCCCAAAAUCACCCAAAUUAGUACCCAAAACACUACGCAACUCCAGCCUUAAUUUGCCCCAAGUCAGAUGCGAAAUCCAGUGUUUGAGAGCAGCAAAAUCAGUGGCAACUUUGUAGAAAAAAUCAGUUUAAAAUCCCCAGCAAAUCACCUCAUUUUCAGCCCCAAAUCGCUGCGAAAAAAUACAGCAGUCCAUCUCCCAAAUCAGCCCUCAAAACCAUCCUUAAACCAACUGUAAAUUACAUAUUUCAGCCGUGUAAAAACCAGCAACAAGAGCGCAAAAAUAACAUCAAAACAUCCCCUUCUUUGCACAAAAAACAACAGCUCCGAGGUCGAGUUCGAGUUUCCCGGCGAGGUCACAUUCGAAUUCGUCGAUCUCUCAGAUCCAGGUUGUUUUCGUAGCUUCCACUCAACUUUAAUUGGAUUUUCUCUUCACCGUAUAUAUUGAAGGUCGUUAAAUUAAUUUUGGAAGAAAAUUCUCAAAGGUCCACUACCUAUCAUGCGCUAUUUAAUUCAGCGAAUCUUUAUAUUUGUGGUUUGGUCAUUCAUUGAGUUUUAUAACCUCUGGUGUUUAAUAUUUCAAAUGUAUUGUUCAUAUGAAUUUAUGUGAGGUUCAUGGAAUUUAAUUUAAGGUUGGAGAUAUUAAUUGUUUAUUAGCGUUUAUGUUAGAUGUUGGUUUAUACACACACGUUAUUAUACACACAUUGUUUUCUAUGAGCUUACUUCCAGUGUUCAAGCUCUACUUUAAAAGAAUUUCUCUAGUGUUCUUUUACCCCAUUGUAUAUCAGUGUCAAGGAUCUCUUCCACGGGCUUCACAUUAGGCCAAUCUCCUCCUCCUAUUAAUUUGAACUUUUAUAUAUCUUUAUUCCCUUCUACUUCUUGGUCGACAUUAAGCAUCAGUCUUGGGAUUUCUCUAGGAUGUGUUAAAUCAGUAGCACCUCUUCGUUUGAAUCUCAAGUUAGUUUAGGAAAAUAAAUUAUGAGCACAAUAAUUUGCUUUAUGCGCGAUUAAUCAAUUAUCGUGAUUAUGGGUACGGUUCUCAUGACGUAGUUGUGAUACACAAUUUUAAAAUUCGGGGGUACAUUUGUGUGACCUGACCAUAAUUUAGUCCUUUUUAAUAAAAUAAACACAUUGUGGAUCGUGGGUACAGUUCCCGCUACAUGAUUCACGAUGUGUAAUUAAAAUAAUUCGUUGUAUGAAAAUUGGAUUAUUAAAAGCGAUUUAGAAGGAAAAAAUGCAUAAAUUUUAUAGAUGUUUUAAAAUCAGAUAAGUAGUCCAAUAAUAACAGUUGAGUGACCGUGCUAAAACCACGGAACUCAAGAAUGUCUAAUACCUUCUUCCGGGUUAAUAGAAUUUCUUACCUGCAUUUCUAUGUUCGUAUACUGUAAAACAUAGUUAAUCUUUCCUCGAUUCGGGAUUUGAACUGGUAACUUGGGACACCCUAAAUUUUUCAAGUGACGACUCUGAAUCUUUAAUAAAAUAAUCUCGUUUCAAUCGUUAUUUAAAUUAAAAAAACUCCCCUUUCUACGCCCUUCGUGGGAUGUAGAAAAAAGGAGGUGUGACAAUAACCACAUUCCCACUAAUAAUAAAUUCCGCUCCUUAUUCUUAGCGCCCACAAAUACCAUUGAUAACCAAGAUCUAAUGGAUUUGGAAGAGAAAUCUGACCAAUGGAGGGUAAGUUGUACUCAACCACCCUAUCUAGCUUACACGUAGAAGAAACUGAUAACCCACCCUCCUUUAUAUCUCAAUUAUUAGUUAAGUCUACAGUUAGAAAUAAUCAACCGGUAGGUAAUAAUCCUAAAAAGAUCAACCGUCUAAUACAAUCCAUCAUCAAAGCCAAAAUAAUCGAGGCUCUUCCAUACUAUACCAACAUUCAUCCACACCAAUUUGGUGAUACAAUGUCCAACUCAAAUGCAUUACCACAACACCUGUCCACUUUCUUAACAGAAUUUGAACAAAUGGACAUUACCCUAAAAAACGUCGCUACUACUAAAUCUUCUAAUGAAUCCCUCACGCUUCCCCACUCCAAUCCCAUGUACAUAGAUCCUAACCCUGUAACGUUAUCUGCUGUCUCACCUCCAAUCAAGUGUGUAAGUAGUAUAAACUCCCCUAUAAGUCCCCAAAGAGCCUUAAUAGGCCAAAAGUUUGUUAAUCAUUGAUAAGGAGAAAUAGACUUAUCUAAGUUCUCCAUCAAAAUCCACACUCAAUUAUGAACAACCUACCCCCACUUCUCCCGCAACUUCCAAAUCCAACAGUUUACUGCACCUCAUCACCACUACCCCCAAACUACUAACUCCUAAGCUGGAUGGAAGCAGGCUUAAUAGGUCAUGUGAUCUUCUUCAAUAUGGAGAUCAAUGGUCAGGACACUGUCAUAGUGAUCCAAAAUACCCCCUACCUGACCUAACUUAUAUCAGAGGGGGUGAGAUUAGCCAUGAACAACUUCAUGACUCAAAUCUGGAUCAACAACGUGCUUCAGCCACUUGCACCAACUAUGAAUGUCAACCUACUUUAAGCUAUGCAAAGCCACUGGAAUCUUCCACCACGAGCAAACCCACAGAUUCAUAUUCCCCACACUUUGGAUCUUCCCUUCUUUCUUCCAGAGGAAAACUAUCUGCUCGGUCCCAUCCUCAUUUCAUAGGAUUCACAUGAAAACUAGGAUCCAAUCAACAUGCCAAACCAGAUGGAUAACAAUCCACCUCCUAACGAACAAGGUCAGGGAGGAAACGAAAUGGAGGAGGAGGAGGAAGAAUUGGAGCCCAUAAAUACGGGGAUGAGUGUGGAGUUUGCAUACCUAAACGUGGUAAAGGUUCUGCUCUUCAAGGAAAACAUGAGCAAAAAAUUCAUAUUCAACUGUCCUCCCUCAGUGUACAAAUGCUCGAUGGACGUAAGGCCACCAAGGGACCCAACGGUUGGCUCCCAUGAAGUAAUCUUAGUGUCAUGCAAUAGAACAAACCCCAACCCUUCUUUGGAGGCGGUGACCAAUUCAAACCAUCAAAAUCCAAUGAUGAUGAAUAGGGGCACAAGCAUCAUUUUCUGGAACGAGCAUGGAUCAAACAAUGAAGAUUUUCGUAGGAACUUUAGAGAACUCAUAGAUACUCACAAACCCUGCUUAUUAGCCUUGCUUGAGACUAGUAUGUCCUCCCAUCCAACCUUACUCAAUGAUUAUAACUUCACAGAAAUGAUCGAGGUGCCAACUCAAGAUCAAGCCGAUGGCUUAGUUGUUCUCUACGAUCACAAGAUUGUUACUGUGAACAACUUUACUAGAAGGGGCAAGGAAAUCCAUGCAAUAAUUAAGAGGCGAUCUUAAUAAUAUAAUUAUGGCUUCUGAAAAAUUCUGAGGUAGGACAAUAAAUCACUCUAAAACCAAUAGGAUUUGGAGCCAUAUAAACAACUGUAAACUAAUUGACUUAGGAUUCAAAGGGUGUAAGUACACUUGGUCUAAUCACAUAAAUAGGCACAGAGGCCUUAUCAUGGAAAGAUUUAAUAGGUUUUUGGCCCAUGAAAAUUGGUUAAGUCUCUUCCCAGGGUCCUCAAUAACGUAUUUGCCUAAAACCUACUCGGAUCACAACCCCUUACCUUUUAAGCUCAACUCUUUUUCAGGCCCCCCUACUCACAAACCUUUUAGGUUAAAAACUUUUUAUGCACCCACCACGACUUCACUAGUAUAGUUUAUUCUCAUUGGGGCAAUAAUAACUUUAAAUUGGCCACACAUGAUUUUGUUCUCAAUAUUACCAACUCGAGUAAAACUACUUUUGGGGACAUCUUUAAGAGACAGAAAAAAAAUAUUGGCUAGACUCAAUGGUAUUCAAUGCUCACCCCAUUACGCUACUAGUGUAUUUCUACAAGAGCUUGAAAUAUCCUUAUAAAAAGAUUAUAAUAGCUUCCUAAAACUAGAGGAGUACUACUGGAAGCUUAGAGCAAGAGUUAAUUAGCUUAAUUAUGGAGACACCAAUACAAAAAUUUUAUAUAUUAGUGCCACAAUAGAAGAAGGCGAAAUCACAUAAUCUACUUCAAAAAUAAUUUCAGAAACUGGAUUGAUAACCCUAAAUAAAUCCUUAAUGAAGCUUUCACUAUAUCCAUAUUCUCUCAAAAAAAUCUAAUCUGCCAAAUUUUUUUGAUCACCUAGACCUAUCUGGCCUAGAUAGACCUCUUUGUGAUAGUGAAAUUCAAAAAGUCUUAUUCACCUUUAAACCAUAUAAAGUCUUUGAGCCGGAUGACUUUCACUCUUUUUUUUCUACCAAAAUUAUUGAAAAAUAGUUGGUCCUAGUGUUAUUACAUACUGCCAAGAGAUCUUUGCUUCAAAGCAUAUCCCUUUGGAAAAUAAUAGCACCUUCAUUUGUCUCAUUCCUAAAAUCUCUAAUGCCAACAACCUCAGAAAUUUUAGGCCUAUCAGUCUUUGCAACACCAUUUAUAUAGUGAUUAUAAAAAUCAUUACUAAUAGACUAAAAUCUUUUUUGGAUAAAAUCAUUAGCCCUUAUCAAGCUAUCUUCCUGAAAAAUAGGCGAGCUAGUGGUAAUGUUAUUUUAAUUCAAGAAAUUAUAAAUUAUUUCAGAAAAAGUAAUAGUAAGAAAGGCAAAAUGAUUCUCAAACUUGGCUUAGAAGAAGCCUUUUAUAAGCUUGAGUGGUCCUUUAUCUGUAAAACUUUGAUAUACUUUAAGUUCCCUCCUAAAUUUACCUCUCUUAUCAUGUUAUUUAUUACUACUAGUACUAUGUCUGUGAUAGUUAGUGGUACAAUCACAAAAUGGUUCACCCCAAGUCGUGGUAUUAGGAAAAGUGACCCUAUGUCGCCAUACAUCUUCAUUCUUUGCAUGGAGGUGUUUACUAGAUACAUAAAUCACCAAAUGGACAUUAAAAUGUGGGAUCCUAUCAAUCUCUCAGGGAAUGGUUUAGCUCUUUUUCACCUCUUUUUCGCAGAUGAUCUCACCCUAAUGAGUCACAUUAACAUAAAGUCUUAUAAUACUAUCCUCUCAGGUAUUAAUCAUUUUCGCAACAUGUCAGGACAAUCCAUAAACCUUGUUAAGUUUAAAAUCUUUUUUUUAAAAUGUCCUAAUAACUGCAUUGAUAAAAUCGCCAACAUAUUUGGGAUCAAAAAAUGUGAUUCAUUCAGCAAAUACCUUGGUUUCCAAAUAAUCAAUUCUAUCCCAAAAGCAAAGGAUUUCUAGUAUAUUCUUGAUAAUAUGAGAUCUAGAUUAGUCAUUUGAAAAUCGAGCUGCUUAAAUAUCGUUGGUAGAACCACGCUUGCUUUCUCUACUCUUGCAAGCAUUCCUAGUCACAUGAGGCAAUACACUCUCCUCCUCAUUAAAAUCCUAAGCUCUAUUAAUAAAAUACAAAGGGAUUUCAUAUGAGGUACUACAAAAUCUAAAAGGAAACUCCACCUUAUUAGCCGGGAAACAAUUACCACGGCUAAGGAUAAAGGGGUUUGGGAUUACGUAAGGCAAAAUCCAAAAAUAUAGCCUUAAUAACUAGUACGGCUGGGAGGUUUCUUUACACACCUCAAGCCCCAUGGGCUAACAUCCUUACACUGAAAUAUGUCACCAAUAACAUAAAAUCAAAGCACUCUCAUACAUGGAAAAACAUCCUUAAGGAUUCACACAUUUGUAACAAAUGGAGCCUAUGGUCAAUCUAUAGUAACUCCUCCCUCCCCAUUUGGAGUGCUAGAUGGACCCCAAAUACUCCCCUUCUCAGAAGCUGUACAAAACGCCCUUUAAAUAUUAAGGAUCACAAAAUAAAAAUUAGUGAUCUUAUUGUGAACAAUACACGGUCUUUUGAUAAGCUUUCCUUUACUCUACCACCUAAUAUCAUUAGAAACAUCACCAACAUUUCCAUGCUCAUUAAUCGUUAUUAUGAUUACCUUCUCUAGGAACCCAAUACUAAUGGUUCCUUCUCCACGAAAUCAUGUUAUACCCUAAUAGAGAAUCCUGAACUUAGCCUAAAGAAUAGAAUUAACAACUUCAAAUGGGUAUGGGACGUCCACUGCCCUAACAAAAUAAAAUUCUUCCUCCGGAAAUGUUGUCACAAUAGACUCCCCUCUCGUGCCUUCCUUUAUCAUAUUAGAAUGAAUAUUGAUAAAACAUGCACUGUGUGUAGAUCAGGUGAGGAAACCCUUCCCCAUAUUUUUCUACAAUGUGAAGUAGCUAAAAACCUUUAAAAAUACCUUAAUUGGGAUACCAUUGCCCCAAGCUGCGAUAACUAGAUUUGGCUAGAUGCCAUCAGACACAGUAACCCACUGAUUCUCUCCAACAUAAUUGCUUGCUCCCAUUACUUCUCUGGAACAUUGGGAUAAACAAAAACUAUAAUCUAGAAAAUAAUACAAGCAAAUUUAUUUCAUGAACCCAUAUCAUCAACCAAGCAACUGAGUUCCACUAUCUAACGGAAAGGGAAAGCAACCAUGAAGUGAUACUCAGUUGUAGCACGAACUGGAGGAAGCCAAAGCUAGGCUGGUACAAACUUAAUUUUGAUGGCGCUUAUAAUAAAACUACAAGUGGAAUAGGUAGAGUGGUGCAUGACCACAACGACCACUGGAUAUUGGGUUUGAAUAUGAGAGUUCAAGCUACUUCUUGCACCCAUGCAGAACUUCUGCUUUUCAUCAAAGUCUGAAGUUUGCAAUAGAAAGAAAUCUAUUUCCUCUUGAAAUCGAAACUGACUCAAUACAGGCAUUACAUCUUCAUGAAAAUAGAAAAAAUACAUUUGACUCUAUUGUUCAUAAUUGCAGGUUGUUCCACGAAGGAGAAAGACAUAGUGGUCCGGCAUAGCUUUAGAGAAGGAAGCGGAGUAACAGACCUUCUAGCCAAAGAAGCUACCAAUCAGACUAUCAUCAAUAAGCUAGUUUAUUUUGUUAGGCCUCCCCCAUAUGUCGUGGCCAAGAUACUGGCGGACAGGGAUAGAGGUGGUAGUAUGAAAUUAGUGCCUAGAAGCACUUGUAGAACUCUAGCUGAUUUGGGAAAUCUAAAUGGCAUACACGACAUUAAUGCUUUGUGUAAUGAUCUAGUGGAUUGAUGUACUCAUGUUUCCUAGCAUUAAAUAAAUAAAAAGCUCCCCUUGUCCAAAAAAAAAAA
RNAcentral lists this long non-coding RNA (7397 nucleotides) under Nicotiana benthamiana. Its description in RNAcentral is "long non-coding RNA (NBEN_LNC026340)". Lineage: Eukaryota; Viridiplantae; Streptophyta; Magnoliopsida; Solanales; Solanaceae. The record is from RNAcentral.